This 552-nucleotide ribosomal RNA is filed under the name Oscillatoria bonnemaisonii LC4_3. Its description in RNAcentral is "bacterial SSU rRNA". It matches the Rfam family "Bacterial small subunit ribosomal RNA", at positions 136 to 720 of the family's 1533-position model. The record is from RNAcentral. Lineage: Bacteria; Bacillati; Cyanobacteriota; Cyanophyceae; Oscillatoriales; Oscillatoriaceae.
GUCGGGGAUAACAGUUGGAAACGACUGCUAAUACCGGAUGUGCCUUCGGGUGAAAGAUUUAUUGCCUGGAGAUGAGCUCGCGUCUGAUUAGCUAGUUGGUGGGGUAAAAGCCUACCAAGGCGACGAUCAGUAGCUGGUCUGAGAGGAUGAGCAGCCACACUGGGACUGAGACACGGCCCAGACUCCUACGGGAGGCAGCAGUGGGGAAUUUUCCGCAAUGGGCGAAAGCCUGACGGAGCAAGACCGCGUGAGGGGGGAAGGCCUUUGGGUUGUAAACCUCUUUUGUCAGGGAAGAACAAAAUGACGGUACCUGACGAAUCAGCCUCGGCUAACUCCGUGCCAGCAGCCGCGGUAAUACGGAGGAGGCAAGCGUUAUCCGGAAUCAUUGGGCGUAAAGCGUCCGUAGGUGGCGAAGUAAGUCUGCUGUCAAAGACCACAGCUUAACUGUGGAAAGGCAGUGGAAACUGCAGCGCUAGAGUGCGGUAGGGGUAGAGGGAAUUCCAGGUGUAGCGGUGAAAUGCGUAGAGCUCUGGAAGAACACCGGUGGCGAAA